UCUGAAAGAAGUUAUGAAAAACAACACAAUAAUUGUAGGGGACUUCAACACCCCACUCACAUCAAUGGAUUGAUCAUCCAGACAGAAA
Ceratotherium simum simum (southern white rhinoceros) is the source of this 88-nucleotide non-coding RNA. NCBI's taxonomy places the organism in Eukaryota, Metazoa, Chordata, Mammalia, Perissodactyla, Rhinocerotidae. The record is from RefSeq and is a predicted model, not a curated record.